Molecule: ribosomal RNA, 301 nt
Filed under: uncultured bacterium
Lineage: Bacteria
Description: partial 16S ribosomal RNA
Rfam family: Bacterial small subunit ribosomal RNA
Source: RNAcentral
CAGCCGCGCGGGAAUACGAAGGGUGCAAGCGUUACUCGGAAUUACUGGGCGUAAAGCGUGCGUAGGUGGUUCGUUAAGUCUGAUGUGAAAGCCCUGGGCUCAACCUGGGAAUUGCAUUGGAUACUGGCGAGCUAGAGUGCGGUAGAGGGUAGUGGAAUUCCCGGUGUAGCAGUGAAAUGCGUAGAGAUCGGGAGGAACAUCUGUGGCGAAGGCGACUGCCUGGACCAGCACUGACACUGAGGCACGAAAGCGUGGGGAGCAAACAGGAUUAGAUACCCCCGUAGUCCCUGUCUCUUAUACA